RNAcentral lists this ribosomal RNA (253 nucleotides) under uncultured bacterium. RNAcentral's name for it is "partial 16S ribosomal RNA". It matches the Rfam family "Bacterial small subunit ribosomal RNA", at positions 524 to 776 of the family's 1533-position model. The record is from RNAcentral.
UACGGGGGGGGCAAGCGUUGUUCGGAAUUACUGGGCGUAAAGGGCUCGUAGGCGGCCAACUAAGUCCGACGUGAAAUCCCCAGGCUUAACCUGGGAACUGCGUCGGAUACUGGAUGGCUUGAAUUCGGGAGAGGGAUGCAGAAUUCCAGGUGUAGCGGUGAAAUGCGUAGAUAUCUGGAGGAACACCAAUGGCGAAGGCAGCUCGCUGGGACGGUACUGACGCUGAGACGCGAAAGCGUGGGGAGCAAACAGG